RNAcentral lists this ribosomal RNA (94 nucleotides) under Phascolarctobacterium faecium. RNAcentral also lists the same sequence under 1 other name. Lineage: Bacteria; Bacillati; Bacillota; Negativicutes; Acidaminococcales; Acidaminococcaceae. The record is from RNAcentral.
UCCACCUGUUCUCAUCCCGAACACAGUAGUUAAGCCCUUAAACGUCGAAAGUACUUGGCUGGAAGCGGCCUGGGAGGAUAGAAAGCUGCCGGUU